UUAUAUUUGAAGUGCAUUCUCCUAGAGGAGGGAGGUUGAAAAUGGUUUUCCUGUGAACUGGAACCAUCCACAGAGGAGAAAUGUUCUUGGUAACCACGGGUUUGAAUAGUUUCUGUAGAAUGUGGGUUGAGUUUUGGUACUUUUCUUAGGGUUUUAUGCUUUUCCUGCUUUUGGGUCUCAUAUUUCUCAGGUGUGGCCUACAUAAAUCACAUGAUUGUUGAAUUUGAAAUAUAGCUGCAGCUUCAGAUUAGGGUCUCUCUCUCUCUCUCUCUCAUGGUGGACUACUCAUUUAAAGGUUUGUUGUGUUUGAUAAAAGGGAGACAUUUCUUUUUGUAAAGUAGUCUGACUAGUGCCAAAUUUCCAUCAAUUGCAUGCUUCAACUCCAUUUCACCAAAUCUCUUCGGAUGAACUGCAGCCUCAUUCUUCAAAAGGCACUUGGUCAAAGCUCUCGUCUUCUAACACUUUGGGCCCUAC
This 474-nucleotide long non-coding RNA is filed under the name Vitis vinifera (wine grape). RNAcentral describes it as "long non-coding RNA (VVIN_LNC006375)". Lineage: Eukaryota; Viridiplantae; Streptophyta; Magnoliopsida; Vitales; Vitaceae. The record is from RNAcentral.